Misgurnus anguillicaudatus (oriental weatherfish) is the source of this 3307-nucleotide non-coding RNA. The record is from RefSeq and is a predicted model, not a curated record. NCBI's taxonomy places the organism in Eukaryota, Metazoa, Chordata, Actinopteri, Cypriniformes, Cobitidae.
AUCAAGAGUAAUUUUUUACAGUGUAGUUUUUAAUUUUAAGUAUUGGUAGAAAUGGAGAGGGUUAAGGAUAUAGAAUAAGGUUUUGCAGAAUAAGUCAUUAAUAUGUGCUAUUUAUAUAGUAUUUAUACGGCCACCGUGUAAUAAACAGCCAACAUCUUAGUAAUAUUAAUGCUAAUAACCAACCAGUGAGAAUUGUAAACUAUUACCUUUAUUCUUAUUAACUUACCAAAAUAUUUAAAGUGAGAAGGUGCCAGGGAUGUGAGGCAGAACCCAAGUAGUGAUGUUACACUCUUAAAAUUGAUGUGUUAAAAUUUUACACAAAAUAUGUGUAAAAGGAUUCCAACACAUUUUUGUGUUAGAACUGACACAUAAUGUGUAAAUAUUAUGCUUAACUGCUUACACAAUAAAUGUGUGAAACACGUUUACCAGUACACCAUAAAAUAAAAUGCAUAAUUAUUGUAAUUUAAUGAUGAUUUAUAUUUAAACGAAGUAACAAAAUAAAAUAUAUCUACUGUUAACCAAAAUAUAUCUACUGUUAACCACUACUACCACAUAACAGCCAGCGGGGAUUUUCAUAAGGACUUGCCGAGAUCAAGCUGCGUUGGGCGGGGUACAUUAGCGCUGAGUAUCCGGUGGUUGUCUGGAUCAGAACUCCGAAAGAGUCGGAGCAGAUUUUUUAAUAAACGCUAUCUUUAUAAACCGACCGCACAUUUGAUCUUUUUAUACAUACAUUCUCGCCUAAAUAGCUUUUGAAUAUAGCCUACAUUUUGUGACACAAUAAGAGUAAUAUUUCGAACAUUAUGCAGGCGUUCUCUUCCAUUGGUGGCUGUUGUAAGUUCACACGAGUCAGCUGAUGACGUUUCACUUGGACAGACAACCACGCAUUGUUGUAUAUAUUUUUGCAUGUGUUAUUAUUAUUUUAUUAUUAUGAAAUUCGUGAACAUUAUUAUUGAGCCUUGGCAGUCUAUUUUGUAUUUGUCUUAUUGAGGAGAAAAAAACAGACAAGAACGCAUAUUGUGUUGCGCCUGCGCUGUGACGUUUUUUUUUUCAACCGCAUUUCCAGUCAAGAGGUCAAGAAUGUUCCUGUCUGCAUCAGGUAAGAAUUUAAAUAAAAAAUUACCGUUAUAAUAUGAUAUCUAUUUUUCAUAUAGUGUAAGAAACUUUAGCAUUAAUUGUGCAGGAGACUGUUCAUUUAAACUUUAUUGUGGUAACGUUAAAUGCUCGCUCGUUUUGCAAAGUUACGUUUGGAGAUUCAUGUUAACAGUCAUUGUUUGAUGAAAGGCACAUUGGACUACGGGUUUAUGUGUGACACUUGCAGCACUUUAACGUAAAUCUGUAACACCGUGUCCUAAGUAGACGUGACUCGCGGUAACGGGUUUCUUUUCAGUUUAUGUCCUGACGUUAAUAGGACGGGAUAUUAUAAAGUAUGCCUUUCCAUUAUCGCGACGCCUCGUCGCGUUUGGUUAAGCACAUGGUGGAUCAGUAUGCACGUCACUGUACCUACUGUACACCUGUGAGCGGCAUGACGAGACAAGACGGUAAAACUCAUUAUUAUUCGGUGAUGCUGUAACAUACUGGAUGCACCGCCACAUUUUAUAAUAAUGUUUUUUAUUUUCGUGUCGCGCCCUCGCGUUCAACAUAACGUAGUGGUCUAACUGUAAGGAGUCAAACUUUACGAACCUUUCACUGCUUGCAGUAAGGCUGAAGUGCUAGGUAGUGAAUAAAAGGGGUGUAGUCUUGUGCUACUAGAUGUAAAUCACAAUUCUUGUGUCAAUGUUUGUUUGUGAUCUUUUUCAGCUAUCCAUCUGAAAAAGAAAAGCUGGCACUCGCAAAGGAGAUUGUGUUUUUGGAUUAUGGUCUCAUUUGGUCAAAAUGAGGGACAUGUACUGAGCAUUUUUCUUUAUUUUUUUAUUUUUAUUUUUUUGAUGGGCCAUCACACAGUGGAUUUAUAAAAAUGAGACUACAGAACAUCAGACGGAAGCUUCAAUGGAGUUGACGUGAGAGGACAUCAUCAAUAAAGAAUGCCAUUGACCAAACCUUCAGUCAUCAAAGGAGAUGGAUACAGGUGGACAUUGAGUUUUCCAGACUUACCGAUAGGAAAGAAGACAUGUUUAUCAGGAAAUGGGAGGUGGAAAUAGCAUCUUUAGAGAAGAAAAUGGACAUCAGACAUUCAUUGAAGAAAGCUGACAGACAUAAUGAUCUUCUGCUGUGUGAAUUCUGCUGUCUCAGACCUGUGGGACUUGGUGGCGGCUGGUACCAGCGUGACCUCUUUGCUUACUAAAUGAUGAAAAGGUGUCUAAAAUCAGCUCGGCCACAGUUGGUUUCCAGCGGUUCUUCAGGACAUAGAGGCCACUAUGUAAUUGUCGCAAUGAAUGAUUCUCUUGGCUUUCCAUUUGAUGUUUACAAUCUGACCUGUGCGGUAGACAGACUUUUCAAAUUUUCUAGCUAAGUAACCUUAAGUAUCCCUGCCAACUGUCUUCAGUUUUUUUCUUUGGUAUGAAUAUGAUCUACCCUUGUUCCAGUCCUCUUGCAAACGAUCCAAGGCAAUGGAGUUUCAAAAUGGACCGCAAAAUUGCAGUCUGUUUUAACCAAUGCAUGCACUGUGUGGUGGUUUCCCGGACAGGGAUUAGACUAGUCCUAGACUAAAACAUUUUUAAGAGCUGUCCAAACUGAAAACAACUUGCACUGACAUAUCUUAAAAUACAUCAGUGCCCUUUGUUUUGCCUCAAAAUGCACACAGGUAAUGUUUUUAGUAAGGCAUGUUUGUUAAAACCAGAUAUAUUUCCUAAUUAAACUAAGGCCUAGUCCUGGAUUAAAAUAAUCCCUGUCCGGGAAACCACCCCUAAAUAUUUUGUGAUGGAAAUUUCUUUGAAUACACUUGUCAAGUUCAUUUGAAGUAUUUUUCUUAAUGUAAAAUAACGUGUUAAUGUUUCAGGACAAGGUAAGAAUUUUUGAUAACUUGCAUGUUGAAAACGAUUUCAGACAUUGUUUCAACAUGUUUAACACAUGUGCUUUUAAAUUCAAUGAAUUGUUUUAUAAAUGGUGUUUUUUAUGUAUGAAUGUAAUGUAUGUUUGAAGUGUUUAUACUUGCACUUACAUUUAUUUAAAUUAGCAUACAUCUUGCAACAUACAGUACUAGCAUAUUUUCAUGCUAGCAUUAAUUGUCAAAUAUUUAUUAUUUUACAAAUAAAUCGUUUGUGAACAAUAUUUAAUAGUUGUCUGCUUGAUUUCAUUAUUUAAAGUUUACAAAUCGUAUGUUUUUUUUUCUCUUUUAUAUUAAAACUAAACAAUUACUGGGUAACACACA